CCCUUAGAUGUUCUGGGCCGCACGCGUGCUACACUGAGUAAUUCAAUGGGUAAGGGAACGCUAGAGCAUUACCUAAUCUUGAAAUUUGCUCGUGAUGGGGAUCGACGGUUGCAAUUUUCCGUCGUGAACGAGGAAUACCUUGUAGGCGCAUGUCAUCAUCAUGCGCCGAAUACGUCCCUGCCCUUUGUACACACCGCCCGUCGCUCAUACCGAUUGAGUGAUCCGGUGAGGCUCUGGGACCUGGACGGAAAGAGCGUUUCGCUUGUUCUGUUUGGGAAACUUGGUCGAACCUUAUCAUUUAGAGGAAGGAGAAGUCGUAACA
Molecule: ribosomal RNA, 322 nt
Filed under: uncultured eukaryote
Lineage: Eukaryota
Description: partial 18S ribosomal RNA
Rfam family: Eukaryotic small subunit ribosomal RNA
Source: RNAcentral